This 365-nucleotide long non-coding RNA is filed under the name Mytilus galloprovincialis (Mediterranean mussel). Lineage: Eukaryota; Metazoa; Mollusca; Bivalvia; Mytilida; Mytilidae. The record is from RNAcentral.
AAAAAAUUAAACACGUUACACAGCUAUGGUUGGCGAUGCAUUUUAUUUUCUGAUCAAAUAUCUAACUUUGAUGUAUCGAUGUGGAAUUUUCCAAUUGAACCAUUUACAUUAUAUAUAAAUGACGUUAAGAAAAUAGUGCAAUCCAUAAUUCUGCAUUUUGCAAAUGCUUUCUUAGAAACUUAUUCUGAGUUAGAUAUAUUCAACAAAGGAUUAUUCCACAACACAUGGUGUCACAAUUUUUCACUAAAGCAAUUAUAUGCAUACUACAUAUCACAUAGGUGCAGUAAUCUAGCUCAGCGUUUACCACUUGAUGGUGCAAUUAUCAAUAAUAAAUACCAAUACAAACAGUACAAAUCCUGUUUAAG